UACGUAGGGUGCAAGCGUUAAUCGGAAUUACUGGGCGUAAAGCGUGCGCAGGCGGUUUUGUAAGUCUGACGUGAAAUCCCCGGGCUCAACCUGGGAAUUGCGUUGGAGACUGCAAGGCUAGAAUCUGGCAGAGGGGGGUAGAAUUCCACGUGUAGCAGUGAAAUGCGUAGAGAUGUGGAGGAACACCGAUGGCGAAGGCAACCCCCUGGGUCAAGAUUGACGCUCAUGCACGAAAGCGUGGGGAGCAAACAGG
This 253-nucleotide ribosomal RNA is filed under the name uncultured bacterium. RNAcentral describes it as "partial 16S ribosomal RNA". It matches the Rfam family "Bacterial small subunit ribosomal RNA", at positions 524 to 776 of the family's 1533-position model. The record is from RNAcentral.